This 465-nucleotide ribosomal RNA is filed under the name uncultured bacterium. RNAcentral describes it as "partial 16S ribosomal RNA". It matches the Rfam family "Bacterial small subunit ribosomal RNA", at positions 28 to 507 of the family's 1533-position model. The record is from RNAcentral.
GACGAACGCUGGCGGCGUGCUUAACACAUGCAAGUCGAACGGUAAGGCCCCUUCGGGGGUACACGAGUGGCGAACGGGUGAGUAACACGUGAGCAACCUGCCCUUGACUCUGGAAUAACAGUUGGAAACAGCUGCUAAUACUGGAUAUUCAUCGUCUCCUUCCUGGGGGGUGGUGGAAAGCUCCGGCGGUCAGGGAUGGGCUCGCUGCCUAUCAGCUUGUUGGUGAGGUAAUGGCUCACCAAGGCUUCGACGGGUAGCCGGCCUGAGAGGGCGACCGGCCACACUGGGACUGAGAUACGGCCCAGACUCCUACGGGAGGCAGCAGUGGGGAAUAUUGCACAAUGGGCGCAAGCCUGAUGCAGCAACGCCGCGUGCGGGAUGACGGCAUUCGGGUUGUAAACCGCUUUCAGUAGGGACGAAGGGUGACUGACGGUACCUACAGAAGAAGGACCGGCUAGCUACGUG